UGGGCAACCUGCCCUCAGCUCUGGGAUAACUCCAAGAAAUUGGGGCUAAUACCGGAUAUGACCGCUGACCGCAUGGUCUGUGGUGGAAAGAUUUAUCGGCUGGGGAUGGGCCCGCGGCCUAUCAGCUUGUUGGUGGGGUAGUGGCCUACCAGGGCGACGACGGGUAGCCGGCCUGAGAGGGUGACCGGCCACACUGGGACUGAGACACGGCCCAGACUCCUACGGGA
RNAcentral lists this ribosomal RNA (227 nucleotides) under uncultured bacterium. RNAcentral describes it as "partial 16S ribosomal RNA". It matches the Rfam family "Bacterial small subunit ribosomal RNA", at positions 118 to 346 of the family's 1533-position model. The record is from RNAcentral.